This 804-nucleotide ribosomal RNA is filed under the name uncultured bacterium. RNAcentral describes it as "bacterial SSU rRNA". It matches the Rfam family "Bacterial small subunit ribosomal RNA", at positions 595 to 1399 of the family's 1533-position model. The record is from RNAcentral.
UGAAAGCCCGGGGCUUAACCCCGGAACGGCUUUGGAAAAUGAGCAGCUAGAGUGCUGGAGAGGUAAGCGGAAUUCUUAGUGUAGCGGUGAAAUGCGUAGAUAUUAGGAGGAACACCAGUGGCGAAGGCGGCUUACUGGACAGUAACUGACGUUGAGGCUCGAAAGCAUGGGUAGCGAACAGGAUUAGAUACCCUGGUAGUCCAUGCCGUAAACGAUGAGUGCUAAGUGUUGGGAGGUUUCCGCCUCUCAGUGCUGCAGCUAACGCAUUAAGCACUCCGCCUGGGGAGUACGACCGCAAGGUUGAAACUCAAAGGAAUUGACGGGGGCCCGCACAAGCGGUGGAGCAUGUGGUUUAAUUCGAAGCAACGCGAAGAACCUUACCAGGUCUUGACAUCCAGUGCAAACCUAAGAGAUUAGGUGUUCCCUUCGGGGACGCUGAGACAGGUGGUGCAUGGCUGUCGUCAGCUCGUGUCGUGAGAUGUUGGGUUAAGUCCCGCAACGAGCGCAACCCUUGUCAUUAGUUGCCAUCAUUAAGUUGGGCACUCUAAUGAGACUGCCGGUGACAAACCGGAGGAAGGUGGGGAUGACGUCAAGUCAUCAUGCCCCUUAUGACCUGGGCUACACACGUGCUACAAUGGACGGUACAACGAGAAGCGAACCUGCGAAGGCAAGCGGAUCUCUUAAAGCCGUUCUCAGUUCGGACUGUAGGCUGCAACUCGCCUACACGAAGCUGGAAUCGCUAGUAAUCGCGGAUCAGCACGCCGCGGUGAAUACGUUCCCGGGCCUUGCACUCACGGCCCGUCA